Molecule: ribosomal RNA, 162 nt
Filed under: Zieria fraseri
Lineage: Eukaryota; Viridiplantae; Streptophyta; Magnoliopsida; Sapindales; Rutaceae
Also listed under: 1 other name
Description: 5.8S ribosomal RNA
Rfam family: 5.8S ribosomal RNA
About the family: 5.8S ribosomal RNA (5.8S rRNA) is a component of the large subunit of the eukaryotic ribosome. It is transcribed by RNA polymerase I as part of the 45S precursor that also contains 18S and 28S rRNA.
Source: RNAcentral
AACGACUCUCGGCAACGGAUAUCUCGGCUCUCGCAUCGAUGAAGAACGUAGCGAAAUGCGAUACUUGGUGUGAAUUGCAGAAUCCCGUGAACCAUCGAGUCUUUGAACGCAAGUUGCGCCCUAAGCUGUUAGGCCGAGGGCACGUCUGCCUGGGUGUCACGC